CGACCUGAGAUCAAGCAAGGCUACCCGCUGAACUUAAGCAUAUCAAUAAGCGGAGGAAAAGAAACUAACCAGGAUUCCAUUAGUAACGGCGAGCGAAACUGGAAAAGUCCAACUUGAAAAUCUUCAGCUUUCAGCUGACGAAUUGUAGUCUAUAGAAGUAUUCUCUGUAGCCACUCCUGCCCAAGUUCCCUGGAACGGGACGUCAUAGAGGGUGAGAGCCCCGUAGGCAGGAUGUUGGUCGCUUCACGAGAUGCUUUCGCAGAGUCGGGUUGUUUGGGAAUGCAGCCCUAAUUUGGUGGUAAGUCCCAUCUAAGACUAAAUACUGGCGAGAGACCGAUAGCGAACAAGUACCGUGAGGGAAAGAUGAAAAGAACUUUGAAAAGAGAGUUAAAAAGUGCUUGAAAUUGUAGAGGGGGAAGUCAUUAACGGCUGUGGGUGCACCCGGGCUCAAAGUACCUUAACGGGUGCCUGAAAGUGCCGGGAGCUGGUCAGCAUGGGUUCAGCCUGAGAGA
RNAcentral lists this ribosomal RNA (512 nucleotides) under Acrosiphonia coalita. Its description in RNAcentral is "LSU rRNA". It matches the Rfam family "Eukaryotic large subunit ribosomal RNA", at positions 1 to 520 of the family's 3401-position model. Lineage: Eukaryota; Viridiplantae; Chlorophyta; Ulvophyceae; Ulotrichales; Ulotrichaceae. The record is from RNAcentral.